Molecule: ribosomal RNA, 775 nt
Filed under: uncultured Neocallimastigales
Lineage: Eukaryota; Fungi; Neocallimastigomycota; Neocallimastigomycetes; Neocallimastigales
Description: partial large subunit ribosomal RNA
Rfam family: Eukaryotic large subunit ribosomal RNA
Source: RNAcentral
CGUCUAUAUACGUAUAGCAUAUCAAUAAGCGGAGGAAAAGAAACUAACUAGGAUUCCCUCAGUAACGGCGAGUGAAGCGGGAAGAGCUCAAAUUUGAAAUCUUCAAGGUUUUACCUUGACGAAUUGUAGUUUAAAGAAGUGUUUUCUGUUGGAGUUUUGGUAAAAGUUCUUUGGAAAUAGGACAUCAUAGAGGGUGAGAAUCCCGUAUUUGACCAUUUCUUCCAGCUGUGUGAUACACUUUCAAAGAGUCGGAUUGUUUGGGAAUGCAGUCCAAAAUGGGUGGUAAAUUUCAUCUAAAGCUAAAUACUGGCGAGAGACCGAUAGCGAACAAGUACCGUGAGGGAAAGAUGAAAAGAACUUUGAAAAGAGAGUUAAACAGUACGUGAAAUUGUCAAAAGGGAAGCGUUUGACACCAGUGUUGUUUUCUCGAAAAUCAAUUAAAAAUGGUGGGAUUUUGUGUUGUAUUGACUUUAUCAGCUUUCUGCACUUUUUUCCUGUCUUUUUUAAUGCACUUUUCGUUUAACAAGUCAACAUCAAUUUCUUUUGUUGUAAAAGGGUCAUUGGAAGGUGGCUUUCUUUUCGGAGAAAGUGUUUAUAGCCUUUGACUUCUGCAAUCGGAGAGAUUGAGGUCUGCAGCGUAGAUCCUUCGGGGUUAGAUACAUUUGUGCUAAGUUAUAGCUUUUCAUAGACAACAUUGUUGACUAUGAUCAUCAUGUAGCUUACUCGCUUAUGUUAUUUUACCUACGCUUAGGAUGUUGAUCUGUAGUGCGUGCGC